CGGGACGGGUGAGUAAUGUCUGGGAAACUGCCUGAUGGAGGGGGAUAACUACUGGAAACGGUAGCUAAUACCGCAUAACGUCGCAAGACCAAAGAGGGGGACCUUCGGGCCUCUUGCCAUCGGAUGUGCCCAGAUGGGAUUAGCUAGUAGGUGGGGUAACGGCUCACCUAGGCGACGAUCCCUAGCUGGUCUGAGAGGAUGGCCAGCCACAUGGAACUGAGACACGGUCCAG
Molecule: ribosomal RNA, 232 nt
Filed under: uncultured bacterium
Lineage: Bacteria
Description: partial 16S ribosomal RNA
Rfam family: Bacterial small subunit ribosomal RNA
Source: RNAcentral